This 1177-nucleotide ribosomal RNA is filed under the name Isoptericola sp. A10-1. RNAcentral's name for it is "bacterial SSU rRNA". It matches the Rfam family "Bacterial small subunit ribosomal RNA", at positions 157 to 1351 of the family's 1533-position model. Lineage: Bacteria; Bacillati; Actinomycetota; Actinomycetes; Micrococcales; Promicromonosporaceae. The record is from RNAcentral.
AGGGGUCUAAUACCGGAUAUGAGCUCCUGCUGCAUGGCGGGGGUUGGAAAGUUUUUCGGUGGGGGAUGGGCUCGCGGCCUAUCAGCUUGUUGGUGGGGUAAUGGCCUACCAAGGCGUCGACGGGUAGCCGGCCUGAGAGGGCGACCGGCCACACUGGGACUGAGACACGGCCCAGACUCCUACGGGAGGCAGCAGUGGGGAAUAUUGCACAAUGGGCGAAAGCCUGAUGCAGCGACGCCGCGUGAGGGAUGACGGCCUUCGGGUUGUAAACCUCUUUCAGCAGGGAAGAAGCGCAAGUGACGGCACCCGCAGAAGAAGCGCCGGCUAACUACGUGCCAGCUGCCGCGGUAAUACGUAGGGCGCAAGCGUUGUCCGGAAUUAUUGGGCGUAAAGAGCUCGUAGGCGGUUUGUCGCGUCUGGUGUGAAAACCUCAGGCUCAACCUGGGGCGUGCAUCGGGUACGGGCAGACUAGAGUGCGGUAGGGGAGACUGGAAUUCCUGGUGUAGCGGUGGAAUGCGCAGAUAUCAGGAGGAACACCGAUGGCGAAGGCAGGUCUCUGGGCCGCAACUGACGCUGAGGAGCGAAAGCAUGGGGAGCGAACAGGAUUAGAUACCUUGGUAGUCCAUGCCGUAAACGUUGGGCACUAGGUGUGGGGCUCAUUCCACGAGUUCCGUGCCGCAGCUAACGCAUUAAGUGCCCCGCCUGGGGAGUACGGCCGCAAGGCUAAAACUCAAAGGAAUUGACGGGGGCCCGCACAAGCGGCGGAGCAUGCGGAUUAAUUCGAUGCAACGCGAAGAACCUUACCAAGGCUUGACAUGCACCGGAAACACUCAGAGAUGGGUGCCCCGCAAGGUCGGUGCACAGGUGGUGCAUGGUUGUCGUCAGCUCGUGUCGUGAGAUGUUGGGUUAAGUCCCGCAACGAGCGCAACCCUCGUCCUAUGUUGCCAGCGGGUUAUGCCGGGGACUCAUAGGAGACUGCCGGGGUCAACUCGGAGGAAGGCGGGGAUGACGUCAAAUCAUCAUGCCCCUUAUGUCUUGGGCUUCACGCAUGCUACAAUGGCCGGUACAGAGGGCUGCGAUACCGUAAGGUGGAGCGAAUCCCAAAAAGCCGGUCUCAGUUCGGAUUGGGGUCUGCAACUCGACCCCAUGAAGUCGGAGUCGUAGUAAUCGCAGAUCA